GAGUCCGAGUCCAAGUCAUCGUGCGCGAGAAUUUACGAGUCCAAGUCUGAGUCGCGUCAAUCAGUGCGCGAGUCCGAGUUGAGUCACGAGUCCCGAAAAUCUGCACUCGAGUCCGACUUGAGUCCGAGUCCAGGACUCGAGUACUCCAUCUCUGGCAUUAGGUGCAUAAGUGUUACCUCAUAUGUUCUCUGUGUGUGUGUUUUGGCAGCUGUGUACGGAGCAUGAUGUGCCAGGAUUUGUCAAAUUCAAGAUGUUUGAUGCCAAACCCUCCUCUAAGACCAUCUCUGGCCUGCUGGAGUUUGAAAGCAAGACGGAGGCUGUGGAGGUUCUUACUGUUCUCAACCACUAUCAGAUCCGGAUCCCCAAUGGAUCCAACCCAUACACCCUGAAACUGUGCUUCUCCACUUCAUCUCAUCUAUAAAAUAAGAAGAGGCUUCUGAUGCUGGCUGACCUCUGAGCUCAGAGAGACACACCCAGAGGUGGAGGUUCAAACGAAAGACAGACUGAGAGAGAUGUGGCCUUUAGGAGAUAAGAUGAGUGGUGGACACUGUCACGCCAAACACACACACUCAUCCCCCGACCAAUCAGAGCAUAGCAUGCUACUCUAGAGAGUGGUGCAGUGUUUCUGUAGGCCAACCCAGAAGUUAGCCUCGCAAGGGCUCCCACAACAAAAAGACAAUGGGAUAUCUCCAUAUGAUUGCAGAAAAUAAUCGCUGUGUCAGACAAACAGUCAUGAUACUUAGAUGUUCUGUUCAGCAGGAUCAUCUCAACAUACUGUAUUAACACCACUUUAUGAUAUUUGUCGUGUAAAUGUUAUUGACAGAAGUAAAACGUUUUUGGCUAUAAAGGAACUACAUCACAGUCACGUCAAUGCCCGUCACCACCGCUAAGACAAAGGCAGACUCCGCAUGAUAAUGUUUAGGUUUAUUUAGUCUCUUGUUAGCUACCGCUGUUUUUAAGACAUUCACAAGUAUCGUAAUUACAGACUUCGUUUAUAUCUUUGAAUAAAACAAGAUCUCUAAAGCUUGUGUAACCACAGACAUGAUUUCAGGCUUCUAAAUAAAAACAUGUCCUAUGAACCUUUGACUUGGAGACGAGGGAACUGGAAGUGGAAAAUGCUAUGUCAUGUUUUAGGACUCAUUCCUGCACCACUCUCUAACGUCUAACUCACUCUAGGAAGUUUUUUUUCCAAACCUAAGUCCAGUUAAUUUGGUAAAGGUGGUGACUGAAACAAUAUUGUAAUAUUUAAAAACAGAUAAAUAUGGUUUGUUGUUUUAAAUUGUAAAUAAAGUAAAUGUGGCUUUGAUUUGAACAAAAGUUCUCAUGUUGGCUUCAUUAGUGCCAUUUAAAGAGCCUGUGACACGGGUUUCACCCAUCAUCCAAACCCAUCAAUUUGAGUAAAUAUUG
This is a long non-coding RNA of Notothenia coriiceps (black rockcod), 1407 nucleotides long. RefSeq lists it as uncharacterized. The record is from RefSeq and is a predicted model, not a curated record. NCBI's taxonomy places the organism in Eukaryota, Metazoa, Chordata, Actinopteri, Perciformes, Nototheniidae. The transcript is spliced from 3 exons.